This 5334-nucleotide long non-coding RNA is filed under the name Gadus morhua (Atlantic cod). RNAcentral describes it as "lncRNA (ENSGMOG00000026271.1)". The record is from RNAcentral. Lineage: Eukaryota; Metazoa; Chordata; Actinopteri; Gadiformes; Gadidae.
AUGGAAUAUGAAAGGUGGCUUCUUGAUUUUGACGGCAGAGGAUAUCGGUUUGAACCUGAAUACACCCAAGAGGAGCUACGGGAGAUGGAGGCUAGGGCUACGGAGGCGCCUGAAGCUCCGGCUGAAGCGGUCCCCAGGAUCACGGGAAAUUGGUGGUGUGCCUGUGGGAAGUGCAGGCAGAUGCCGACGGAGCAUGAAAGUACGUGCUGCACGGAGUGGGACCUUGUCGUCACAGCUGGUAUGGCCAACCUCAAUGUCUCGGUCGACGAGACUGUGUCGACCUGCAUCUCUCUAAAUGAAGUGCGCCAUCUCCUGAACAAAACCGUGCUGGAGACUUUCUUCUGGGUCCCUAAAAUGAACUGGAAGAAACGCCCCACACCCGAAGGACCGAAUGGCCAACUGUCAGAUAGGCAAUACCGACUUGUGGCUUAUCGAGUCAUUCUGGAGUGGGCCCUCAAAGGAUAACCACUGGGACGAGGAAAUCGCCUUGGAUUACCCAGUUGCGUGGUGUGGGCUGUUAGGGAUGCAUUCCCAUCCCCCACUGGACAGUAUGCUGGGUUUAAACCCAGUGAGAUAGAGGAAUUAUUCUGAAUUCAUUCUUUUUUAUUCUUAUUCCAAUGUAUAUCUUACCCUUCUGUUCCUACCUUAUGUUCCUACCUAACUGCAUUGCGUUUACUUUUUAAUUUCUUCUCAAUAAAAAACUUUUGUUCAAAAAUCUUUGCAGUUUUAUUUAGAAAGUGCACACUAGUGUCUGUAGGCCUAAACAUGUUUUCCUAAUGGGUAAAGGUAGACAUAAGCCGACUGUAUUUACAAACAUAUUUACAACACUACCACUUGAACACCCUACACUUCACACUUUAUUACACCUCAUUACUUUAUUAUUAUUGAUGCUGCUACUUAUUUAUUUUUAUACUUAUUUUAUAUUUUUUACUUGCAGCUAUGUGUAUGUUGAGGAACCAAGCCUAAUAAUUUUGCUCUUGUGUAGCCUACUGUACAAUAAGGUGUAAUAAAAGUGAUUCUGAUUCUGACAUAAACAAAUUUACCAUCUGGAUCCUUGGUUUUUCAAGCAUCAGUGUGGCGAGGGAAUCUGGAUUGAUGUUUCCAGAUUACAUCUUCCUUGGGGGGUCUCUCCUUAGUGGCAAUGUUUGCAGGCCGCUGGACAUGUGGUAUGUCUUCCGGUGUUCUUUCCUCCCUUCUCUCCAACACGAGUUUCACAAGGUGUUGCGUGAAGUACUGACCUGUAGGCUCAUAGAUCUUCUUGGCUACCCAUUCCUUGCUCUGUUUUGGGAACACCAUACUGUAUCUUGGAAGUCCUACACAGAGAACAUUAUUUCUUAGCCAAGUUGUUACAAACACAUUUAGGGGCUUACUUAUGAAAUCUCAAUACCUUCAGAAGUCUCUGUCUGCUGUCGGCCGACAUUGUAAUUGUUGUCCAGGAUGGCUAGUUGUGUUCGGGCUACCAUGGUGUCGUACCGAAAAUGCAGUCGUUUAGGCAGAUAUUUUAGCAUAACGUUGUGGUACACCUCCAAAGAUCCUGUAAAUUAAAGUGUUUCAUUAGACAUUGAGAGAGUGACUACAUAGGUUGAAAAGUUGCAUAGAUCCGUUUCAUAAUGCUAUAUACCUGUAUGUUUGAAGCGAGUCAUCUGCUCAAGGUCUUUCAGAAGUCUUUUAUCUUCAACAAUAUUCCGUAAAGACUUGAACACUUGAGACUCUGGCUGGAGCCAUCGCUUUGUCCUUUGCUGAUCUGGGUUUAGAGCAGGGUGAGGGCAUGCCCACUUUCUUCCAUCUUGCUCCCAUGUGUGCUCCCCACAGAUGUGGUGGAGGACUGAGGUCCACCGUCACUUCAGUUCCUACAGAAUAUAUUACAUUUCAAGACUAUUUGAUAAUCUUCUGACUGGAUUUCAGUGCAAUCUUUAUAAAUUCUUUAUACAUUGGGGUUAUUACCUCAGCACUCUCGCCACAAGAUGAGCAUGAGAACCAAAAGUGAUUGAGGAUCGCCCGAAUCCAGCCCUGCAGGACCCGAUUUUCCUUUUUGUUGGCGAGUGCUACCAGUUUUUUCUUUAUGCCUGUGUAAUAGUAAUGAAACACAUUACCACAAAUGUGGGUGAACCAAAUGUGAAGGUUCUCCUUCACAGUACAAGAUAUGUGGUCUUGAUACAUGGAAGGUCUAUCAGGUUAUGAUUUGAUGAGUCAUUGAGUCACUCACAAUUUACAUUGUUUUGAUACAACUAUUUACCGUUUGAUUCAUGCCAAGGAUCAAAUUCAUGGUGAACAUUCUGGAAUUCCUCCCUCAUUAUUUUCCGAACUGAUGUGGCCCGGUCUGUAGUGAUGAGGUCUAUAUCUACUCCUUCAUUGAAAAUUAGAUGGUUGAGGCCCCUCCUACAGCCUUGGGACUCCAUGGCAACUGAACUGCUAGCUUCCGUUACCUAUUGACGAAAGAGAAUAGAAAUGAAUGAAUGAGCAAUAGCAAAAAAACAAAUACAAUACACCCACUGAAUAAUGCUUUAUCUAUACUCUGUCACCUAGAGUAUAGUUUCAGACAAGCAGCAUUUUAGUUUUACCUGUAGUAGUUCAAAGUGAAUGAUCUCAUUACUGGAUAGAAGCUGAAACGAAUAGGUGGAAUACUUGCAGCUGUAGCCUGUAGAAUGUAAUAGUGUAACAACAUGUGAGUCUUCCUUACUAUCCAGAGAAAAACAUUUCCAACAGUCUUACAAUCCAUACCUCCAUGUUAUUGUAUUAAAGAAAAAAAACACACUCACCUGGUGAGUCAGACCUGGCAUUUCCACACAGCUCUAUGGAUAAAACAAUUAUAAUCUAGGAUAUAAAUUCUCCCCGUCAACUAUAAAAAGGAUGGCUUUAUGUUUAUUGCAAUACAAAUACACCAUUUUAAAAAUGUAUAACCUUGCCUACACUUUAUGAACAUUUACUUCGGACAUGGCUCCACGCAUUCGCCGGCUUCUUUGAAAACAAAUGCACAUGGCUCGUGUAGCAGGGUUAAUGCUUCCCACUUGCCAUUGCCAGCGAGAUCCUUGCGCUGGCUGUGGUAGUGGGAGCCUUGGUUGGAGUGCUAGAGCUCCCCCUAGCGGAAUGCGGGGGUUGUAUUGUACGUUGCUGCCUCCUCUCCUCAGUCUACGUAUACCCCGGCUGGGAGAGGCUGCCAUUGUGAGGGUUCUCAAAGAGCAUUUCCCAUGUUAAUAUUCCACCAGAAUAAACGGCUGGCUGCCAAUGGUUCCAUCGUGGUCUCAAUCACAACGCAACGAGAGAGUACGCAACCGCUACAAAUGGUGCCGUGACCCGUUCUUCUCUGCCUGUCUGCUGCGUCAUUGAGGAUCGCCAUUCAACACGUGGCACGUGAGCACCGACGACGUGGCCGUGCAGUGAGUCGCCCGUGCUGCUUCUAGUAGACAGGUUCAGUAAUAAAAAUAAAGAGGAAUAGUUCGAACCAAGGGAUAUGGUUACUGCCGACCAUCUUGUAAAGAUAUAUGUGUUUUAAUUUUUUUGUGUUUUAUUUUAUUUUUAUUUCUCCUCGUGCACAUAAUGCAAAUUGUUUUCUUUUUUUGCUUUUGAGUUGAACGUGACAUUUGAACAGUGACGUGUCAUUAGUUGUGUAUGUGUUUUUAUUUCUUUACUAUUGUCACUGCAUAACGUACAUUUUGGGUUUUGGGAAAUUGUGACUCAUUAAAGAUGGAUGAGCUGAACUUAUCUGCUUUAGGCAGGGGUCAGACAUUUAUGUUUAGCCCAUCACUCCAGAAAGGAGGUUUUCGGGGGAGCAUAAAGACAGACAGACCCCAUAAAGUCGGGCAACGAGAGAGUACGCAACCGCUACACUCGCGUAGAAGUGCAUGGGGAAGGGUCGUCAACGAGUUGUUACGACAGUGUUGUAAAAUAUCUACUAUGAAGCUGUAGGGGGCGCUGUGUAGAGAAAUGUGCGUGCCAAAACCAAGAAAACAGCGAAGAAAUUCCCGAAGUUGCAUAGUGGGCCUUUAAAAGUCUAAAAAAUGUCUUAAAUUUCAUUUUCCUAAAUUAAGGCCUUAAAAAGUCUUAAAUUGCGUUACCCAAGUCUUAAUUUUUUAAAGAUGGUCUUAAAAUUCCUACUAGGAUAUGUUUUCGUAGUCAACCGGACUGUAACACAAGGGGAAAAUGGGGGGCGUUUUGCGUAUCGGGGUUUUGCGUAACGUCAGAGAACGUCUCAUUUAUUGGAGUAUGCGCGAACAAUACUUUGGGUUUUCGCGCCGGCAAUCUCAACAAACAUAAUCAGUCGAGAGGAGACGCCAAAUCAUGGGGAAGCAAGCAGGGCUCUCAAGUCUCACGCAUUCGGCGUGAGACACACGCAAUUCGACCCAUGCACACGCUCACAUGCCACACUUCGUAUUUCUCACGCAGAGAAAUUACCAGGAUAGCGCCCACCAACUUGCGCCACUAUUUAACAGUGGAACAGGUAGGAAUCAAAUGGGUUCCCCAUACGAAGGGUGACCAGACGUCCUCUUUUUCCCAGACAUGCCCUCUUUUUGAGACAGAAUUUCAAAAUCGUCCGGGAUUUUAUUAAAGCCUCAUACAUGUUCACAUUGAAUUUGCGCUGCGUUCCUCUGGGUCGGUCACAAACUACUUAAGCCUCGCCUCCCCACCUCAGUUCUGUUUGCUAUGCAUUGCUGGAAGUGAGUAGGGGGAGUGGUUAAGUAGAGCCUUCAGAUUGGACGGUUUGACUUUAGAGUUACCGUCAUGUUUUGUAUUUUUUUUUUUUUGCCAUUAUUGUUUUAUAGGGACAAACAUUAACUAAUUUCUCCUACAGGGGAUUGAUAAAGUUAUAUCUAUUGAACAGAAAGAAACACUUGGUCAUACUUUACACACUUUACCACAGCAUUGGCCUACUGAAUGCCACAGAUAUAUUUUAAGCAUUGGACUGAAUGCCACAUAAAUAUAUAAUUAUGUUUUUGCACGUUUGCAACGUUUAAAAGUUCAAGGAAAAGUAUAGCCUCUACUGGUGUUGCUUAGGCCAAUAUCCUUUUGAGGCAAUGUUGUUUCCGAAUAUUAGUGUUAAGGGCCAAUAAUGCUUACUAUCAUACAUUAGUCACCAUGUCUGUGGACGGGUUAGGGUUAGGGUUAGGGUUCGGGCUGGCUCCAUACAUUACGAAGGAGUUAGUAAAAGAGGUCAACGAGGCAAGUGGUGGAUUCAUCGAAAUGGUUGAGGAAAUUUGAAUGCUGAGAAACUACAGCAAUUUGAAAAGAGUUUGUUUGUUUAUAUUUUAUAUUGUGUGUUGAAGUUUGAUAUUUAAACCAAAAAUACAGCUACACUUUCACACCAUCACUUUGUGUAUUGUUUUUUUAAUCUUUUAU